Amphiprion ocellaris (clown anemonefish) is the source of this 1072-nucleotide long non-coding RNA. RefSeq lists it as uncharacterized. The transcript is spliced from 3 exons. Lineage: Eukaryota; Metazoa; Chordata; Actinopteri; Pomacentridae. The record is from RefSeq and is a predicted model, not a curated record.
GGACAACAAACAGUUCAACAGCCUUGAGUUUCUAUUUUGGGGGCGUGAAUCUUUACUAUCGUCUUAUAAAGGAUUUGUUUGGGAGUUUUCAAACUGAAACACAUUAGAAUCUUCCACAGGUUUGUACUCAGUGUUUUUCUGUUCUGUUUAAUCCACUCUAUAGCUCAGUAAAGUUCCUCCUCUACCUGAACCAAAGUAAAAACACAGCAGCUUGUUUUCUACGUUGUUUUCUUUUCUCCCCAGGUGCCACACCUGUCCUGCGUUCAAACACACCUCUAACACACGAAGCCGCUGCUUUAAAGGUUUAAAUCCACAUUUUCAGAGUGAAAGUAGAAGUUCCUCCUGAAGAUCAGAGAUUGCAGCAUCUGAGGGCCUCUUCAAAAGAAGACGUAGUUGAUGAAGGCGUUCUGGAGCAGGACCAGAAAGACCACGACCAAGCAGCCUUGAGAUCUUAGGCAGCAUCUCCCUGAGGUCCCUCUCUAUCUCCCCUCACAUCCACCAACCACUGGAACACAUCUCCAAAGUUCUGCUGGACCAGCUCAGCUUCCCCUCAGAAGAAGUGGCGCCACCUGCCAGAUGAAGGAGCCUUUUGAGAGGCAGCUGGCAUCGUGAUUGGACUGUACUUUGGUCUGUUCCAAUCCAGCUUCAGCUCCAGAGACGGCAGGUGGGACGAGUCAACGGAGGCCGGAUGGACGAAGACAUGCAGCUGAGUACAAUCCAGAAAACAACAGAGGAGGAGUGCAGCAGCCCAGAGCCAGAACAACCAGAGUAGCAUCGUAUGUCUCUUAGAAAACAUCAUAGUAUAGCCUUUGGUAUGAAAAAACGCCAUCAUAUACAUCGUAUAUUGUACAAAUAACAAGUCAAAGGAAAGAGACAUACAUUGUAGAAUUGUAGUAAUUGUGGGCUGACUGAUUUACUGAUUAUCAGUAUUUUAUUUUUUACUGAUUUACAGUAAUAAAUACAUUUAAAAAUGGCGCUACUUUGGCUCUGAACCUUUAUCUACCUGUGGUCGCUCUGUCUUCUGGAGUGAUUUGAUUGGUUAUACGUAACGAAUAAAACUCCUUUAACUUAA